UUAAUAAGCGGAGGAAAAGAAACUAACAAGGAUUCCCUCAGUAACGGCGAGUGAAGCGGGAAGAGCUCAAAUUUGAAAUCUCCGAUGCUUGCAUCGGCGAGUUGUAGUUGCGAGAAGCACUUUCUAGGUGGAUCGGCGGUGCCUAAGUUGCUUGGAACAGCACGUCGCAGAGGGUGACAACCCCGUCUGUGGCGCCGCCGGCCGCCGACGAUGUGCUUUCGAAGAGUCGGGUUGUUUGGGAAUGCAGCCCAAAACGGGUGGUAGACUCCAUCUAAAGCUAAAUACUGGCGUGAGACCGAUAGCGA
This 305-nucleotide ribosomal RNA is filed under the name Favites halicora. RNAcentral's name for it is "eukaryotic LSU rRNA". It matches the Rfam family "Eukaryotic large subunit ribosomal RNA", at positions 43 to 343 of the family's 3401-position model. The record is from RNAcentral. Lineage: Eukaryota; Metazoa; Cnidaria; Anthozoa; Scleractinia; Merulinidae.